Molecule: unclassified non-coding RNA, 502 nt
Filed under: uncultured Diversispora
Lineage: Eukaryota; Fungi; Glomeromycota; Glomeromycetes; Diversisporales; Diversisporaceae
Description: SSU rRNA
Rfam family: Eukaryotic small subunit ribosomal RNA
Source: RNAcentral
CCAAUAGCGUAUAUUAAAGUUGUUGCAGUUAAAAAGCUCGUAGUUGAACUUCGGGGUCUACCCAUUGGUCAGGCUUAAUUGUCUGCACUGGUGAGAUGGAUCUCUACCUUCUGAGGAACUUUCAUGCCAUUUAUUUGUUGUGAUGGGAAAUCAGGACUGUUACUUUGAAAAAAUUAGAGUGUUUAAAGCAGACUAUCGUCUGAAUACAUUAGCAUGGAAUAAUGAAAUAGGACGGACUGAUUCUAUUUCGUUGGUUUCUAGGAUCACCGUAAUGAUUAAUAGGGAUAGUUGGGGGCAUUAGUAUUCAAUUGUCAGAGGUGAAAUUCUUGGAUUUAUUGAAGACUAACUACUGCGAAAGCAUUUGCCAAGGAUGUUUUCAUUAAUCAAGAACGAAAGUUAGGGGAUCGAAGACGAUCAGAUACCGUCGUAGUCUUAACCAUAAACUAUGCCGACUAGGGAUCGGACGAAGUUAAUUUUAUAAUGACGCGUUCGGCACCUUACG